RNAcentral lists this ribosomal RNA (337 nucleotides) under uncultured bacterium. RNAcentral describes it as "bacterial SSU rRNA". It matches the Rfam family "Bacterial small subunit ribosomal RNA", at positions 65 to 422 of the family's 1533-position model. The record is from RNAcentral.
AACGGGGGGAGCAAUCCCCUAGUGGCAGACGGCUGAGUAACACGUGAGUACCUACCCGACGCAGGGGGAUAGUCGUUCGAAAGGACGGGUAAUACCGCGUAAGCUCUCGCAAGAGAGGAGAGCAGAGAUGCGGCGUUGGAGGGGCUCGCGGCCCAUCAGGUAGUAGGUGGGGUGAUGGCCUACCUAGCCGAUGACGGGUAGCUGGUCUGAGAGGAUGAUCAGCCAGACUGGGACUGAGACACGGUCCAGACUCCUACGGGAGGCAGCAGUGGGGAAUAUUGCGCAAUGGGCGAAAGCCUGACGCAGCAACGCCGCGUGAGUGAUGAAGGCCUUCGGG